Molecule: ribosomal RNA, 492 nt
Filed under: uncultured bacterium
Lineage: Bacteria
Description: partial 16S ribosomal RNA
Rfam family: Bacterial small subunit ribosomal RNA
Source: RNAcentral
AGUGAACGCUGGCGGUAGGCCUAACACAUGCAAGUCGAACGGCAGCACAGUAAGAGCUUGCUCUUACGGGUGGCGAGUGGCGGACGGGUUAGGAAUACAUCGGAAUCUACUUUUUCGUGGGGGAUAACGUAGGGAAACUUACGCUAAUACCGCAUACGACCUACGGGUGAAAGCAGGGGAUCUUCGGACCUUGCGCGAUUGAAUGAGCCGAUGUCGGAUUAGCUAGUUGGCGGGGUAAAGGCCCACCAAGGCGACGAUCCGUAGCUGGUCUGAGAGGAUGAUCAGCCACACUGGAACUGAGACACGGUCCAGACUCCUACGGGAGGCAGCAGUGGGGAAUAUUGGACAAUGGGCGCAAGCCUGAUCCAGCCAUACCGCGUGAGUGCAGAAGGCCUUCGGGUUGUAAAGCCCUUUUGUUGGGAAAGAAAAGCAGCAGGUUAAUACCCCGCUGUUCUGACGGUACCCAAAGAAUAAGCACCGGCUAACUUCGUG